UUAUGGCUCAGGAUGAACGCUGGCGGCGUGCCUAACACAUGCAAGUCGAACGGAACUUUAACGGAACAAGGCUUCGGUCAAGUGAAAUUUAAGUUUAGUGGCGGACGGGUGAGUAACGCGUGAGUAACCUGCCUUUCACAGGGGGAUAACGUUUGGAAACGAACGCUAAUACCGCACAACACAGCAGAGUCGCAUGGCUCAGCUGUCAAAGAUUUUAUCGGUGAAAGAUGGACUCGCGUCCGAUUAGGUAGUUGGUGAGGUAACGGCUCACCAAGCCGACGAUCGGUAGCCGGACUGAGAGGUUGAACGGCCACAUUGGGACUGAGACACGGCCCAGACUCCUACGGGAGGCAGCAGUGGGGAAUAUUGCACAAUGGGCGCAAGCCUGAUGCAGCAACGCCGCGUGAGGGAAGACGGUUUUCGGAUUGUAAACCUCUGUCUUUGGUGACGAAGAAGUGACGGUAGCCAAGGAGGAAGCCACGGCUAACUACGUGCCAGCAGCCGCGGUAAUACGUAGGUGGCAAGCGUUAUCCGGAAUUACUGGGUGUAAAGGGAGCGCAGGCGGGAUAGCAAGUCAGCGGUGAAAUGCAUGGGCUUAACUCAUGAGCUGCCGUUGAAACUGUUAUUCUUGAGUGGAGUAGAGGCAGGCGGAAUUCCGAGUGUAGCGGUGAAAUGCGUAGAUAUUCGGAGGAACACCAGUGGCGAAGGCGGCCUGCUGGGCUCUAACUGACGCUGAGGCUCGAAAGUGUGGGGAGCAAACAGGAUUAGAUACCCUGGUAGUCCACACUGUAAACGAUGAUUGCUAGGUGUGGGGGGUCUGACCCCCUCCGUGCCGGAGUUAACGCAAUAAGCAAUCCACCUGGGGAGUACGGCCGCAAGGUUGCAACUCAAAGGAAUUGACGG
RNAcentral lists this ribosomal RNA (903 nucleotides) under uncultured Bacteroidota bacterium. RNAcentral's name for it is "bacterial SSU rRNA". It matches the Rfam family "Bacterial small subunit ribosomal RNA", at positions 17 to 916 of the family's 1533-position model. The record is from RNAcentral. Lineage: Bacteria; Pseudomonadati; Bacteroidota.